This is a ribosomal RNA of Macadamia integrifolia, 156 nucleotides long. RefSeq annotates it as 5.8S ribosomal RNA. The record is from RefSeq and is a predicted model, not a curated record. Lineage: Eukaryota; Viridiplantae; Streptophyta; Magnoliopsida; Proteales; Proteaceae. The transcript has a single exon.
AGUUCUCAGCAACGGAUAUCUUGACUUUCGCAUCGAUGAAUAACGUAGCGAAAUGUGAUACUUGGUGUGAAUUACAGAAUCUUGUGAACCAUCAAGUUUUUGAACGUAAGUUGCAUCCUAGGCUGUCGAGCUGAGGGCAUGUCUGCCUGGAUGUCA